GACGAACGCUGGCGGCGUGCUUAACACAUGCAAGUCGAACGGUAAGGCCCUUCGGGGUACACGAGUGGCGAACGGGUGAGUAACACGUGGGUGAUCUGCCCUGCACUUCGGGAUAAGCCUGGGAAACUGGGUCUAAUACCGGAUAGGACUCCGGACUGCAUGGUCAGGGGUGGAAAGCUUUUGCGGUGUGGGAUGGGCCCGCGGCCUAUCAGCUUGUUGGUGGGGUGAUGGCCUACCAAGGCGACGACGGGUAGCCGGCCUGAGGGGGUGACCGGCCCCACUGGGACUGAGAUACGGCCCAGACUCCUACGGGAGGCAGCAGUGGGGAAUAUUGCACAAUGGGCGCAAGCCUGAUGCAGCGACGCCGCGUGAGGGAUGACGGCCUUCGGGUUGUAAACCCCUUUCAGCAUCGACGAAGCGAAAGUGACGGUAGGUGCAGAAGAAGGACCGGCCAACUACGUGCCAGCCGCGGCGGUAA
Molecule: ribosomal RNA, 478 nt
Filed under: uncultured bacterium
Lineage: Bacteria
Description: partial 16S ribosomal RNA
Rfam family: Bacterial small subunit ribosomal RNA
Source: RNAcentral